GGGGGGGGGGGGGGUCGCGGCAGAGUGGGGGAUUGUAAAAAGGGUCGCCGAAUUUAAAAGGUUGAGAACCGCUGAACUAAAGUAACAUUUCUUUUGGAAAGUGACAGGGUAGAAGUGUUUCUAUUUUUAUAGAAUUGGGGGGAAAAUAAAUUCAGCAAUUUGAUAGUAAUAUUUUUUUUGGUGUCAGAUGUUGAUGUACUUUUUUGGUCAGUUUUUUUUUUGUUGAUCUUUUGUUCAAGGUCAUUGCAUUAGUUUCUGUGUUCAGGUCAAUGUUAGACCAUGACUCCAUAUGUUGUAUAGACAAAUUGACCGUGACUCCAUGUUUUGAAUAUAUUAAUUGACCAUGACUCCAUGUU
Molecule: non-coding RNA, 356 nt
Organism: Biomphalaria pfeifferi
Lineage: Eukaryota; Metazoa; Mollusca; Gastropoda; Planorbidae
Source: the annotation of a GenBank genome assembly